ACUCCACAAUAAUUAACCUUUUAGCCCUAAAUCAGCUGAAUUCUUGAAAUGAAAUAGUCAAGCUUCCAUUUUAUCCAUUUUCGAGAUAUCAAGAUGAAAAUGUUAGGUCAUCCUUCUAACAUUAUAGAGCCUGGUCAGGCGCGUGGACGUGCAGGAUGGUCUGGCUCUACUGGUGGCAGAAAGUUAUCUUUUUAAGUUCCAACACUUGUAUGGUUAAUUAUAUAACCAUUAGUCUGACUUUUAUCAGUGGAAAUAUUUUUUCUAAUAGGAAUUGCCUUUGUUAGGUUGAAUGCCAUACGCAUCACAUAUUUUCCAACAUGAUUCCUUAUUCGAAUGCCGUUAUGUUUAAGUUUAUCCUGACAAGAUAUUCAUAUAAAAUGUUUACAGUUUUUGGCUGACAAGAAAUAUUGGUUAGUUUAAGUUUAAAACUCGAUUAGUUCUCCUAGGUAAUUGUAUGUCAUCUUGAAAUACAUUUUCAUAGAGAUUCUAAACCAAAGCAAAAAGAAGCACUUGUUUGUAUUCAUCCAUGAUUCAGCGAAUGUUUUUUUGUUGUUUUUUUCAAACAGAUGAUUUACAUGAGUCUUGUAUUAUUGUGUUAUUGGUCAGGAUCUUUAAUCUUUUAAUUAAUAUUUGUCAAGCUCAACUAUUUUGUUGCUUGUUUUAAUGUCCUUUAUAAAGGAUAGUAUGCCUAUUAUUACGACUGACACGGUGCAAUAUCUAUAUUUCCUGUCUAUCAUUUGUUUCUGAUAAUAACUAAGUGUGGAGUAAAAUUUUGAAUUUCAUGAAACGAAUCAAAAAGUUUACUCAGCUUUUCUGAUUUUAUAUAACUGUUGGCGUAUAUUGUUGCAUGUAUUAUAUUAUCACUUGCGCUCAAUCAAGUCUAGCUAGCUAGAAGUAUAACAAAUAUGAGAAACAACCUAGUCAUAUUGAUAGAUUUUGUUUUUGGAAUCUCAUGUUUGAGACAGUAGAAGAAUAAAAACUAAUUUGCAA
Ruditapes philippinarum (Manila clam) is the source of this 990-nucleotide long non-coding RNA. RefSeq lists it as uncharacterized. Lineage: Eukaryota; Metazoa; Mollusca; Bivalvia; Venerida; Veneridae. The transcript has 2 exons. The record is from RefSeq and is a predicted model, not a curated record.